CUAGUUUAACCUUGGCAAACAUGUCCAGACAAGAGCUUGGUACAAGAUUAACAUAAGCAGACAUGGCAGGGCAAGACUCAGGUAUAAGAUUAGCAUAGGCAAACACCUCUGAAGUCCCACCACCCAAAGUACAAUAGAACUUCCUUUGCAUGUCUGGACCCCUUGGCAAGUCUGGUGAUGGGAUUAGGCUUUCAUUGGCCAGCAAUUGUCACCUCUGGGAACUUCCUGGAGUCCAUUUUAAAUAGGAAAAUAGCUUUAGAAUGGAGGAAACUGGCAAAGAAGUUGAUUUUAUAUUAUUUUUAAAGCUAGGUAACUUCCCUGAGCUGUCAAGUUGAAAGGAUGCAUUCAGGCAUAACUUUUAACAACUUUAAACAUGCCCCCCCCCCCCGUAAUUUCCAUAACAACAAUGAACCCAAACCUCCCAUCACCAGGGCAGCUGUCCUGCAGGCUCCCUUGUUUAACGAAGUUGUUUUUCUUGCCUUCUUUCUUACACCCCCUCCCUCUCCGUUGUUCAGGAUUUCGUGCUCUUGCUUCGGAGACUCGGUUUGAACAAUACGCCGCAAUUUCUUCCUUGUUGAUGGGGAACCACAACCCGUCAAGCCGAGCUUUUGAGAAAGUUUUGCUACUAAUCAGCGUGAUUAGCUCGCAGUCCACUCUCCAAAGAAGGGUCACGAUCGGCCUCGGCUUGCAGCACGGCAAACUAUGCUCGCUCGCAUUUCAAAGCUCUUGCCCCGCUAACAGACCGCUCUGCACGUAUCUGGCUGAAGUGUAGCACACGCCGCCGAGCCGAAAGGAGUUCAGUGGCCUUGACAACUGGCAGGCAUAAACUUUUAUGUGUCAAGCUUUCCGUGG
Non-coding RNA from Podarcis lilfordi (Lilford's wall lizard), 852 nucleotides. The record is from the annotation of a GenBank genome assembly. Lineage: Eukaryota; Metazoa; Chordata; Lepidosauria; Squamata; Lacertidae.